ACAGGGAUUGCCCUAGUAACGGCGAGUGAAGCGGCAACAGCUCAAAUUUGAAAUCUGGCGUCUUUGGCGUCCGAGUUGUAAUUUGCAGAGGGCGCUUUGGCAUUGGCAGCGGUCCAAGUUCCUUGGAACAGGACGUCACAGAGGGUGAGAAUCCCGUACGUGGUCGCUAGCCUCUACCGUGUAAAGCCCCUUCGACGAGUCGAGUUGUUUGGGAAUGCAGCUCUAAAUGGGAGGUAAAUUUCUUCUAAAGCUAAAUACUGGCCAGAGACCGAUAGCGCACAAGUAGAGUGAUCGAAAGAUGAAAAGCACUUUGGAAAGAGAGUUAAAAAGCACGUGAAAUUGUUGAAAGGGAAGCGCUUGCAGCCAGACUUGCCUGUAGUUGCUCAUCCGGGUUUCUACCCGGUGCACUCUUCUACAGGCAGGCCAGCAUCAGUUUGGGCGGUUGGAUAAAGGUCUCUGUCACGUACCUCCUCUCGGGGAGAUCUUAUAGGGGAGACGACAUGCAACCAGCCUGGACUGAGGUCCGCGCAUCUGCUAGGAUGCUGGCGUAAUGGCUGUAAGCGGCCCGUCUUGAAACACGGACCAAGGAGUCUAACAUCUAUGCGAGUGUUUGGGUGUCAAGCCCGAACGCGUAAUGAAAGUGAACGGAGGUGGGAACCCUUUGGGGUGCACCAUCGACCGAUCCUGAUGUCUUCGGAUGGAUUUGAGUAAGAGCAUAGCUGUUGGGACCCGAAAGAUGGUGAACUAUGCUUGAAUAGGGUGAAGCCAGAGGAAACUCUGGUGGAGGCUCGCAGCGGUUCUGACGUGCAAAUCGAUCGUCAAAUUUGGGCAUAGGGGCGAAAGACUAAUCGAACUAUCUAGUAGCUGGUUCCUGCCGAAGUUUCCCUCAGGAUAGCAGUAACGUUUUCAGUUUUAUGAGGUAAAGCGAAUGAUUAGAGGCCUGGGGGUUGAAACAACCUU
Molecule: ribosomal RNA, 960 nt
Filed under: Stagonosporopsis helianthi
Lineage: Eukaryota; Fungi; Ascomycota; Dothideomycetes; Pleosporales; Didymellaceae
Description: eukaryotic LSU rRNA
Rfam family: Eukaryotic large subunit ribosomal RNA
Source: RNAcentral